RNAcentral lists this ribosomal RNA (428 nucleotides) under uncultured cyanobacterium. Its description in RNAcentral is "bacterial SSU rRNA". It matches the Rfam family "Bacterial small subunit ribosomal RNA", at positions 356 to 795 of the family's 1533-position model. Lineage: Bacteria; Bacillati; Cyanobacteriota. The record is from RNAcentral.
GGGGAAUUUUCCGCAAUGGGCGAAAGCCUGANCGGAGCAAUCUCGCGUGAGGGAUGACUGCCUAUGGGUUGUAAACCUCUUUUUUCAGGGAGGAAUCAAUGACGUGUACCCUGAAGAAUAAGCAUCGGCUAACUCCGUGCCAGCAGCCGCGGUAAGACGGAGGAUGCAAGUGUUAUCCGGAAUCACUGGGCGUAAAGCGUCUGUAGGUGGUUUGAUAAGUCAACUGUUAAAUCUUGAGGCUCAACCUCAAAAUCGCAGUCGAAACUAUUAGANCUAGAGUAUAGUAGGGGUAAAGGGAAUUUCCAGUGGAGCGGUGAAAUGCGUAGAGAUUGGAAAGAACACCGAUGGCGAAGGCACUUUACUGGGCUAUUACUAACACUCAGAGACGAAAGCUAGGGUAGCAAAUGGGAUUAGAUACCCCAGUAGUC